RNAcentral lists this long non-coding RNA (1447 nucleotides) under Lepidothrix coronata (blue-crowned manakin). RNAcentral describes it as "lncRNA (ENSLCOG00000004086.1)". The record is from RNAcentral. Lineage: Eukaryota; Metazoa; Chordata; Aves; Passeriformes; Pipridae.
GGAGGCAGUGGUCUCCACUUAUCCUGGUGGGAAUGGCCUUCUGUGCCUGCUCAGCCCCUGGCUGGGAGGUUUGGGAGCCCUGUGGGCUCUGCAGCCCCAGGACCUCCCGAUGAGCUGCUCGUCAGGGUGGUGCCAGGAAGGGUUCUGGUCACUGGUGGUGCAUGUGGAGGAGCAGCAAUUUCUGUUGCUCUUCCCCUUUCUCUGCUGUCCUCUUACCUGCUGCAAACCCUUUCUGUGUGCAGCUGGAGACCAGCCUGUUCCGUGAGGAGCCCCUGCCUUACCUGGUGUACCAGCCCCUGCCCUGGCAGAUCCAGUGCGUGUCCCAGAGCCGCCGCACCAGCCGGGACAGCGAGAGAGGAAAGAGCUCUCGGCACAACAGCAUCUACUCACUUUCUGGAGACAAAGGUGAUGUGACCCCUGAUGACAGCAAGGACAGCACGUUCUUCAGCGACCCUUCGGAGAGGGCAGCCAUCACCAUCCAGACCCACUUCAGGAGGUACCAGCAGCAGAAGCAGGAAAAGAAGUAGAUACAUCAGCCACCCGUGCCCUGCACUGUCCCUCCUGUUUGUCUGUUCUGUACCCCAGAGACAUUUGGGGCUGUGGUGACUGUGAACCUGCCCCUGAACCUACACCUGCACCCCCUUGGUGCAGCUGUAGGUUCUCUGCCCUUGUGUUGGUCGCUGCUCAGAGCGAGCUCUCUGUCCUGCUGUCCUUCCCCAGACAGCAUUGCCUUGUGGGCCAGGGUGCAGCUGGAAGGGGGCUGUUGAGGACCUUGGAACAGGGGGGUGAUGCUGCAGCCUGUCCUUGGCCAGCCCUUGGGUCACAAUGAGUGAGUCCCAGCAGCUGUGUGGGUGGCAGUGGGGCCCUGCACAGCUGAAGGUGGUUGUGCUGGCUGGUCUCUGCCCAGCUGGGGCUUGUUUCACUCACCACUGACCCUCCCCUGUGCCUCUGCCUCCUUCACUCUGCUUCUGGAGUUGGAUGGAACAACUACCUUUGUCCUCUGCUCUGGGUGGAUGGCUGGCAGAGGUGCCAGCACAGUGUCCAGGAGCCAGCCUGGAGUGGGAAUGUCACCGAGGGGAUGUGCUGCAGGCAACUCAGGAGCUGAGCUGUGAGCUGAUCUUACCUUUUCUUGGGGACAACUGGUUGGGGUGCCAGAGCAAGUGUGGGGUGAGACUCUGUCUCCUGAAGCUGAACCUGCUUUUCUUCCUGAGGCAGCCCUCUGGUAAUGCUGGUGUUUGGGUUAGAGCCCACCCAGCCCCUUGCUCUGGUGCUUUGGUGCAGCAAAGCUGAACAGAGACCUGCAGGCAGGUCAGGCAGGGACAGGAGUCCAGGAGAGUCUUGGGUCUGAGUGUCUCUGUUUCUGAGUGCUGUUGUUUGCAGCUUGAAAGAGGGAAUAUGAAAGCACAGAGCUCUGGGCCAGCACAGAAACAGGAGAUUUGCUGUGAGC